CAUCAUUACAAUGGAAACAAUAAUGAUCUAGGAACCGCUUGUGGGAAGUACUUCCGUGUAUCCUGCUUGAGUAUUGUCGAUCCAGGUGAUUCUGACAUCAUCAAGUCUCUACCAGGUGACCGCUAAGUCGAUGAUGGUUCAGUUCUCUAGUUUCCGACUCCACUAUGUUGUUUCUCUUUUCCCCCAACCCCUUUUGUUUAAGAAUAUUUGGUAUCUUCUUUAUGCCAAGUUGUGGAUGUUGCUAAAUUUUGUAGCUUGAAUACCAAUUUUUGGUUAAUGAAGAUUCUGGAUUUUCAUUA
Long non-coding RNA from Hibiscus syriacus, 299 nucleotides. RefSeq lists it as uncharacterized. The transcript has 3 exons. The record is from RefSeq and is a predicted model, not a curated record. NCBI's taxonomy places the organism in Eukaryota, Viridiplantae, Streptophyta, Magnoliopsida, Malvales, Malvaceae.